RNAcentral lists this ribosomal RNA (1215 nucleotides) under Knoellia sp. Its description in RNAcentral is "bacterial SSU rRNA". It matches the Rfam family "Bacterial small subunit ribosomal RNA", at positions 120 to 1350 of the family's 1533-position model. Lineage: Bacteria; Bacillati; Actinomycetota; Actinomycetes; Micrococcales; Intrasporangiaceae. The record is from RNAcentral.
GGUAACCUGCCCCUGACUCUGGAAUAAGCGCUGGAAACGGCGUCUAAUACCGGAUAUGACACCAAUCCGCAUGGGUAUGGUGUGGAAAGUUUUUCGGUUGGGGAUGGACUCGCGGCCUAUCAGCUUGUUGGUGAGGUAAUGGCUCACCAAGGCGAUGACGGGUAGCCGGCCUGAGAGGGCGAUCGGCCACACUGGGACUGAGACACGGCCCAGACUCCUACGGGAGGCAGCAGUGGGGAAUAUUGCACAAUGGGCGCAAGCCUGAUGCAGCGACGCCGCGUGAGGGAUGACGGCCUUCGGGUUGUAAACCUCUUUCAGCAGGGAAGAAGCGAAAGUGACGGUACCUGCAGAAGAAGCACCGGCUAACUACGUGCCAGCAGCCGCGGUAAUACGUAGGGUGCGAGCGUUGUCCGGAAUUAUUGGGCGUAAAGAGCUUGUAGGCGGUUUGUCGCGUCUGCUGUGAAAAUCCGGGGCUCAACCCCGGACUUGCAGUGGGUACGGGCAGACUAGAGUGUGGUAGGGGAGACUGGAAUUCCUGGUGUAGCGGUGAAAUGCGCAGAUAUCAGGAGGAACACCGAUGGCGAAGGCAGGUCUCUGGGCCACUACUGACGCUGAGAAGCGAAAGCAUGGGGAGCGAACAGGAUUAGAUACCCUGGUAGUCCAUGCCGUAAACGUUGGGAACUAGGUGUGGGUCUCAUUCCACGAGGUCCGUGCCGCAGCUAACGCAUUAAGUUCCCCGCCUGGGGAGUACGGCCGCAAGGCUAAAACUCAAAGGAAUUGACGGGGGCCCGCACAAGCGGCGGAGCAUGUGGAUUAAUUCGAUGCAACGCGAAGAACCUUACCAAGGCUUGACAUAUGCCGGAAACAUUCAGAGAUGGGUGCCCCGCAAGGUCGGUAUACAGGUGGUGCAUGGUUGUCGUCAGCUCGUGUCGUGAGAUGUUGGGUUAAGUCCCGCAACGAGCGCAACCCUCGUUCUAUGUUGCCAGCACGUGAUGGUGGGGACUCAUAGGAGACUGCCGGGGUCAACUCGGAGGAAGGUGGGGAUGAGGUCAAAUCAUCAUGCCCCUUAUGUCUUGGGCUUCACACAUGCUACAAUGGCCGGUACAAAGGGCUGCGAUACCGUGAGGUGGAGCGAAUCCCAAAAAACCGGUCUCAGUUCGGAUUGGGGUCUGCAACUCGACCCCAUGAAGUUGGAGUCGCUAGUAAUCGCAGAUC